This 1219-nucleotide ribosomal RNA is filed under the name uncultured fungus. Its description in RNAcentral is "eukaryotic LSU rRNA". The stretch from base 505 to 1219 matches the Rfam family "Eukaryotic large subunit ribosomal RNA", at positions 1 to 649 of the family's 3401-position model. The record is from RNAcentral. Lineage: Eukaryota; Fungi.
UAGUCGUAGCAAGGUUUCCGUAGAUGAUCCUGCGGAAGGAUCAUUAACGAGAGUGGGGGGUGUUGUGUUGUAGUAGUAGUUUGUUUGGUAGGGUGAUGGGUUUAAUCACCCAACUCCACCAAUCUCUAUCCUAUAACGCUCGCCUCAACAAACUCAAGGCAUUUGCCUUGUUUUCACGCUUGUCUUUGUUUGUCAAACAUAUCAGUGCUUUUAUGAUAACUUUUAACAAUGGAUCUCUUGGCUCUUGCAACGAUGAAGAACGCAGUAAAGUGCGAAAUGUAAUGCGAUUUGCAUGAAUCUGUGAGUCAUUUAAUCUUUGAACGCAACUUGCACCCAUUGCUGGGUAUGUUUGUUUGAGACGGCAAAACCGUGGACACUAACCGGUUUGGCCAUGACUUGUGUCUUGGCUCAGAAGCAGCAAGCUGAUAACGGGGUAGGAGGGUCUGCUAGAGUUAGAGACUCAAGUCUUUUCCUUGCAGAGUCACCAUCCUAACUAUACUAUACCCGUCUCAAAUCAAGCAAGAUUACCCGCUGAACUUAAGCAUAUCAGUAAGCGGAGGAAAAGAAACUWACAAGGAUUCCUCAGUAACGGCGAGUGAAGCGGGAAUAGCUCAAUCUUGAAAUCUCGGUGCACAUAAGCGCUGCGAAUUGUAGUCUAAAAGAAGUGUGGUAUUGGUGAMUGGGUUGAUCAAGUCCUUUGGAACAGGGCACCAUAGAGGGUGACAGUCCCGUGGAUCAAUCUCUAGUCUUAUUGCGCACUCUCUAAGAGUCGAGUUGUUUGGGAAUGCAGCUCAAAGCGGGUGGUAAAUCUCAUCCAAGGCUCAAUAUUGGCAAGAGACCGAUAGCGAACAAGUACCGUGAGGGAAUGAUGAAAAGCACCUUGAAAAGGGAGUUAAAAAGUACGUGAAAUUGUUAAAAGGGAAACGAUAGAGACCAGAGCAGGGCGGAGGUUUGGGUUAAGGUGUGUUGUGCACUAUAUGUGUGUUAUGCACUAUGUGUGUGUUGUGCAUCAUGACUUGCAACCGCUUGUCCGAGUCAUUACAUGUUAUGAUUGUUCAAUAGAUCAUUGGGGAAGGUGGAGUAAUUGUUACUCUUUAUAGACCCAGUUGAUUAGGAUGAUUGUGACAUGGUACGUGAAGAGGAGGUUUUGGUUAUGGUGUUCAAACCGUAUAACCAAAAACCAACUCAUCACCCAUUGACGAAAUGGUCUUUAGCGACC